RNAcentral lists this small RNA (149 nucleotides) under human gut metagenome. RNAcentral describes it as "M-box riboswitch (ykoK leader)". It matches the Rfam family "M-box riboswitch aptamer (ykoK leader)", at positions 10 to 160 of the family's 169-position model. Rfam says of the family: M-box riboswitch, also know as ykoK leader is described as a metaloregulatory RNA that sense divalent metals and function as a genetic control element of genes related to divalent metal transport in bacteria. The record is from RNAcentral. RNAcentral also lists the same sequence under 1 other name.
AAUUCCGGUAGGUAAGGCUACUACAGGGAUAUGGACUGCUGCCGCGGAGUGAUGGAGACAUCAUGAGAAGGUUUGAACAGGUUAUAUCGAAACCAAGGUAUAACAUAAUGCAGUUUCACCGCCCUGCAGAGCUAAAGCUCAAACGGUGG